GUUAGGAAUAUUGGACAAUGGGCGCAAGCCUGAUCCAGCCAUGCCGCGUGAGUGAUGAAGGCCUUAGGGUUGUAAAGCUCUUUCAGUAGGGAAGAUAAUGACGGUACCUACAGAAGAAGCCCCGGCUAACUUCGUGCCAGCAGCCGCGGUAAUACGAAGGGGGCUAGCGUUGUUCGGAUUUACUGGGCGUAAAGCGCACGUAGGCGGAUCGUUAAGUCGGGGGUGAAAUCCUGGAGCUCAACUCCAGAACUGCCUUCGAUACUGGCGAUCUUGAGUCCGGAAGAGGUGAGUGGAACUCCUAGUGUAGAGGUGGAAUUCGUAGAUAUUCGGAAGAACACCAGUGGCGAAGGCGACAUACUGGCUCAUUACUGACGCUGAGGCGCGAAAGCGUGGGGAGCAAACAGGAUUAGAUACCCGGGUAGUCC
Molecule: ribosomal RNA, 425 nt
Filed under: uncultured bacterium
Lineage: Bacteria
Description: partial 16S ribosomal RNA
Rfam family: Bacterial small subunit ribosomal RNA
Source: RNAcentral